ACUGCAUUUGUAGAUCCAGAGAGAUGAGUCAAGGUUCCAAAAUUAGUGAUUGCUAUUCAUGCGUGUGCUUGAUGGGAUUUGUGCACACUAGCAAAUCUAACCUCCUACAUUGUCAUACAGCAAGAAAAAUUGUACUAAAGCAUACAGAACUGAGAUUUCUCCCUAGGAAGAAACGACAAUAUCACAAAACUAUUAAGCACCAAAAUUUUAUAAUUCUAGUGUCUUCACUCAUCAUCAUCCUCAUCCUCAUCA
Molecule: unclassified non-coding RNA, 252 nt
Filed under: Hevea brasiliensis (rubber tree)
Lineage: Eukaryota; Viridiplantae; Streptophyta; Magnoliopsida; Malpighiales; Euphorbiaceae
Source: RNAcentral